Dermacentor silvarum is the source of this 6007-nucleotide RNA transcript. It is a transcript of the gene named glycogen phosphorylase-like, with no coding region annotated. The transcript has 19 exons. The record is from RefSeq and is a predicted model, not a curated record. Lineage: Eukaryota; Metazoa; Arthropoda; Arachnida; Ixodida; Ixodidae.
CAGCUGCGCGCCCGGCGAGCUGCGUUCGAGAGAAGCGAAGCCGUUUCCCGGGACGUGAGCGGUUUGAUUCCGUACGUCAAUAGGAAGGCAGCGAACUUGCCCGAGUCGCGGCUGCCGUUUCAGCGCGGUUUGCUUUGGUAGGAAGAGGUCACGGAACUGCAACUUCUGUUCAGAGACCGCCCUUUGAACCAUGGCGACCGACGCCGCUGGUACCCGGCGAGCGGCGAGCAAGGAGAAGAUAACGAGCCCAAUGUCGGGCCCGACUACCGACUCGGAGCGGCGAAAGCAGAUCAGCGUGCGAGGCAUCGCUCAGGUCGAAAAUGUAGCCAACGUGAAGAAGGCCUUCAACCGGCACGUCCACUACACGCUGGUCAAAGAUCGCAAUGUGGCUACGCCUCGGGACUACUUCUUUGCCCUGGCCUACACCGUCAAGGACCACCUGGUCGGCCGAUGGAUCCGCACGCAACAGCACUACUACGACAAGGACCCCAAGCGGGUCUACUAUCUUUCACUGGAGUACUACAUGGGCCGUUCUCUCACCAACACCAUGGUGAACCUGGGCAUCCAGAACGCCUGCGAUGAGGCCCUCUAUCAGAUGGGUCUGGACAUUGAAGAACUGGAGGAACUCGAGGAGGAUGCUGGUCUGGGCAAUGGCGGCCUGGGUCGGCUGGCGGCCUGCUUCCUCGAUUCCAUGGCCACGCUAGGCCUGGCAGCCUAUGGAUACGGCAUCCGCUACGAGUAUGGUAUCUUCACGCAGAAGAUCACCAAUGGCGAGCAGACUGAAGUGCCAGAUGACUGGCUUCGCUUUGGCAACCCGUGGGAGAAGGCUCGCCCGGAAUACAUGAUUCCCGUCAACUUCUACGGCCGUGUGGAGAAGACCGACAAGGGCUUCAAGUGGGUCGACGCACAGGUUGUGUUUGCCAUGCCCUACGACAACCCCAUUCCUGGGUUCCGCAACAACGUUGUCAACACCAUGCGACUGUGGUCAUGCAAGUCGCCCAUCAACUUCAACCUUCGCUUCUUCAACAACGGUGACUACAUUCAGGCCGUCCUCGACCGGAACCUGGCAGAGAACAUCUCCAGGGUGCUCUACCCCAAUGACAAUGUGUUCGAGGGCAAGGAGCUUCGUCUGAAGCAGGAGUACUUCAUGGUCGCCGCGACGCUGCAGGACAUCAUUCGCCGUUACAAAUCUUCCAAGUUUGGCCAGACAGAUGCGGUGCGCACCCACCUGGAUCAGUUCCCGGACAAGGUGGCCAUCCAACUCAACGACACGCACCCAGCGCUUGCCAUUCCGGAGCUCAUGCGCAUCUUCAUCGACAUCGAGGGCCUCAGUUUCGACAAGGCCUUCGAACUGACGACUAAAACGUGUGCCUACACAAACCACACAGUGCUGCCAGAGGCCUUGGAGCGCUGGCCAUGCUCCAUGUUGCAGAACAUACUUCCACGCCACCUGCAGAUCAUCUUCGACAUCAACGCCCGUUUCCUUGGCGAGGUGAGCCAGAAAUACCCCGGGGACCACGAUCGGAUGCGGCGUAUGUCGCUGGUCGAGGAAGAGGGCGAGAAGCGCAUCAACAUGGCUCACCUGGCCAUUGUGUGCUCGCACAAGAUCAACGGCGUGGCACGGAUCCACUCCGAGAUUCUCAAGAAGGACCUGUUCAAGGACUUCUACGAGAUGUACCCCGAGCGUUUCCUGAACAAGACCAAUGGCAUUACUCCCCGCCGGUGGCUCCUGCUCUGCAACCCUAGUCUGGCCGAUCUCAUUGCCGAUAAAAUUGGCGAGGACUGGAUCGUGCACCUGGAGCAGCUGACCAAGCUGAAACCUCUGGUCAACGACAAGGCAUUCCUGCGAGACUUGCAGAAAGUGAAGCAGGAAAACAAGAUGCGGCUGUGCGAGUACCUGCACAAGCUUACGGGCAUCAAGCUCAACCCAUCGUCCAUGUUCGACAUGCAAGUGAAGCGUAUCCACGAGUACAAGCGGCAGCUACUCAACUGCCUGCAUAUCAUCUGCCUGUACAACCGCAUCAAGGCAGACCCCUCGGCGCCCUUCGUGGCACGUACCAUCAUGAUCGGUGGAAAGGCGGCUCCGGGCUACCACAUAGCAAAGCAGAUCAUCAAGCUGAUCAUCGCGGUGGGCAACGUGGUGAAUCACGACCCUGUGGUUGGGGACAAGCUGAAGGUGAUCUACCUGGAGAACUACCGUGUCACCCUGGCCGAGAAGAUCAUCCCGGCCGCCGACCUCAGCGAACAGAUCUCCACUGCCGGCACAGAGGCUUCAGGCACCGGAAACAUGAAGUUCAUGCUGAAUGGUGCACUGACCAUUGGCACCCUGGACGGUGCUAACGUCGAAAUGCGAGAGGAGAUGGGCCCAGAGAACAUCUUCAUCUUUGGAAUGAACGAGCACGAAGUUGAAGAGCUCAAGAAGAGGGGCUACAAUGCCUGGGACUACUACAACAAGCUGCCAGAAGCGAAGAAGGCCAUCGACCAGAUCAACAGUGGUUUCUUCAGCCCAUCCAACCCAAACCUCUUCCACGACCUCACCAAUGUGCUGCUCAACCAUGACAGGUUCUUCCUGCUGGCUGACUUCGAGUCAUACAUGAAGUGCCAGGAGCGGGUGUCGGCCAUGUACACGAACCAGGAGGAGUGGACCAAGAUGGCGCUGCUCAACAUUGCCUCGUCGGGCAAGUUCUCGAGCGACCGCACCAUCUGCGAGUACGCCCGCGAGAUCUGGGGCGUCGAGCCCUCCUGGGAGAAGCUGCCCGCACCUCACGAGUCCAAGGGCGAUGACGAUAAAAAUUAAAAAAGAUGGUGGCCACACGUGGGACUUUGGCGAAGGAGGCCCUACUGCCCAUCAACCGCAAGCACGAGCUGCUGCUGCUUCUACCAACCAACAACCCACCGACGUCCACGCUGAACCGUCCGUCUAACCACCGCGGUUCUUAUUCCCUAGGCCUUGAGGCGUCAUUCCCCAGAACUGAGAAAGUAAAAAAAAAAGAAUCCAAAAUGCUGGCCUCAUAAAGCUGUAGCCCCCACCGAAAAACUUCAUUUUGUUGUUGUAUUCCUAGCAUUAUUUGAACAAAACGAGAGUUUCACCAGAAGCUGGAGACUUGAAACUGGAAGUGAUCAUUAGAGGACGAACAAUGAAUGUCUUUGGAACCUACAUUUAUUCUAACAGCAGGGUGGCCCUGAUGAAGACAAGCAAACCCCUUGUCGAAAUGUUUGUCCAGAGCCAUCCCUUGUCUGUUGAUCACUAGCGUGUGUUGGUGUUAUAGAUUGUGGAGCUGCCCUUUGAGAAGGUUGCGUGCGAUGUGAAAGUCAUGCAGGAUGCGACAGGCCUGGAAAUUUAAAACAUGGUCAGUGCUGUAAGUGAAAGGAUUUGCUGAUGUUAGUCGAAAGGAUUAAAGUGAUGGCACAUGUAAGUGAAACUGCUUGCAUGGGAGCGCUGUCAUCUGUAACCAUUCAUUUGGCUCAAACGAGGGUUGCAUUGUGGCUCUACUUUAAGGAUUAUGGAAGAAAGAUUGUGCAUGAAAGGGCUCAAGCUGAUUUCACUAAAGUUCCAUUAUGUUGCAUUAGUUGUUGCUUUGAAUAAUUUUCAUUCCCAUUUAAGUUGUUCAAAAAUGAUGCGCUAGCAUUGGAAUAUUGCAAACAGCUCGUAGCUCUUGGCAUUAUGGUGUGAGGCCUUAAAAAGGGCUUCAGGCUAGGAACUAGCAACGCUGUUGGCGGACUGUUCUAUAAAGCCAGAACAGUCCAACCCUGUAGACCGUAAACCAGGCAGGCAAUGCUUUAGUGUGCAAUGGCACUAGUGUCGAAUGCCCGAUUAGAGAAGUAGUAGUCAUAAGCUUUUAUUGUAUAGUAUAUAGCAUAGUUCAGCUUGUUUGUACAGGCUCUCAUCACAAUCUUCAGUCGGUAUGAAGCAACAAGAGUGCAGUGGUCAAGACUAUCUCAUAAUGGUUGCUAGUUGGGGUAAGGGAGAUACGUUGAAUAUUCAAAGUUUGCAGAACACAACUUUAAACACAUGAGUAAGACUUGCCAGUUGAGAGAGCUAUUGGUCUCAAUGAAUGAAGCAUGCUGUAAUGCAUAGAUGGUUUGGUCAAAACAAUAAGAGAAUUUCUGUGUCAUUGCCAAGCUGAUUAUGUGUGCGAGAUUAUUAAUAUGCAAAGUUUGCUCAGUGCCACCUACCGCAAUAUCCAUAGUCGUCAACCAUGCUCCCUAAAACAUGACCUGUUAAAAAAAAAACGGAAGUUCUUGGUACUUUAAGGGCUCAAAAAGUCCCGUCUUUCGAUUGUGCAGAUAUACCAGCUACAACCAAUAAUGGAAGUGUCAUAAAAUUUUCCAGAGGCAUCCUAGAAUGCUUUGUUUGGCACCUGAUCCAAAGUCAUUGUAUGAGAUGCUAUGACAAGUAUAAAGUCAUGCAAGAGAAUUGGAACCUCCUUGGCUUUCUUGAAGCUGCAUUUGCAGAAGCUUUGAACUAGUAACUGGCGACAUAAUCACUGGUUUUUGUGAGCGCCAGUCACUGGUAUUUAUUGCAUAGGGUUGUAAAAAGCAUGGCUUUGCUUUGCAUGGCAUGGCUUUGCAAAAAGCAUGGAAAAGAGAAAACAAAAAAUUUAGGAAGUGGGCAACGUAUCGAAGAUGUGGGACUACUUGGGAUAUUUUGGUGGGCUUCAUUUUUUUUUUUCUUUCUUGCACGAUGUGCCUACAUUGCAAGGUGGCAGCCACAGUCUGCUUGUGAUAGUGAAUGUUGCACCGCAAGUGCAAAGUCGCAUUGAUCAUCACAUUGAUCAUACGGUGCAGCUCUUGGCACUUCGAGUGGUGUGGCUAGUAUUAGCAAUUGUGGAGAGUUUAGUAGAGCGAGAAAAACUAUACUUAUUACGUUGAUCAAAUUAUGUAAGCUCAGAAUUCUUCCUGGGUUUCGGAAUGUGAUAGGGAACGUAAACUUAAGAAAUUGUGACACCGCAAGCGCUUAGAUGACAUAUUUCAAUCAAAAACAAAAUGACUUACCAGGUUGCAUAGACUGCGUAACUUCACCAUUCUUUCUGAAUUUUGAAAAAUUAUCAGAAAGAGAGAACUUGUAAAGCUGUAACAUCGAAAGUGCUUUGACUGGCUUUGAACUGCAAAACAAUCCCGGUGUCUCUUACACUGGCACACACUCUGUGUUCUCCAUGGUAAACACGGACAGCUUUCACGUCUUCAGACGCAAGCAGCAGCGAAUGUUUUGGAUUUGUGGGCUGUCGCCUAUAGCCUCGGAGCUUUGAACUAGUCGGAACACCAGUCGUGCACACAGCUUUGGGAAAAGAGACCCACUGGCAUCGGUUUCCCUACAAAAUUGCACGUCCUCAAUGGAUGACGGAUACCGAGUUAUUGCCUCUGCCGUCUUGAAAGCAUACUGUAAACUGCCCAUAUGUGAUCCUAGUUGUCCGCCAUUGUAUUUGUAGAGAGGACUGUUUUUUAUCACGCCUGCGAGCCCGUGACAUCCAAGCAAUUUACCCAUUUUCUUUUUCCUUUGCCACUGGUGUUAUUGAAGCUCUGUUAUCGUCUUUUAGACAACUCACCUAUUUUUUGUUGUUGAUUUGACCUUUGUGUGGAGUGUUAUGUGUUGCACGUCGUUCACAUCCUUUAUCUAGGUAACAAUACAUUUUUCAAGGUCUUUCACUGUAGUCUCCAUAUUGCCCUGAAACGGCUGAAGCUGUGCUCUUUGGCGCCGAGAGGACGGUCGCGGUUCCUGAAUUGUUCCUCCCGAUUUCCUGCCAUGGCUCGGAACAUCUAAAUAUAUGCCAGGUGCUUUAUUCUAAUGCAGCCAUGGCCAGAGACAUUUCGGGUAAAUAAUGAAUUUUAAAAUUUUAUCGGUGUUGUAUUGGUGGAAGCAUUGCAAACUGUUCCUGUUCAAGUUUGUGUUGUUGUUGUUGUGGUGUGCUGCAGUCAUGUCGAAUGUGGCAGUCGCACGAAUGUCCACAGUAACGAUUAAAGACGUGUUGAAACCUUGAAUCAAUAAAGCAGUUGUAUAUUCCUUGUC